CAAUAGCGUAUAUUAAAGUUGUUGCGGUUAAAAAGCUCGUAGUUGGAGUUCUGCCAGGUGCCGCCUGUCCGCCCCAGUGGUGAGUACGUGGCGCGCAUUUGGCCCUUUCAAGGGGAGCGUAUCUGCACUUUAUUGUGUGGUGCGGGAUCCUUGACUUUUACUUUGAGGAAAUAGGAGUGUUCCAAGCAGGCUCUCGUCGUGCACAGCUCAGCAUGGAAUAAUAGCAUUGGACCUCGAUUCUAAGCUGUUGGUUGCCAGAAGCGAGGUAAUGAUGAAGAGGGAUAGUUGGGGGCAUUCGUGUUUAACUGUCGGAGGUGAAAUUCUUGGAUUUGUUAAAGACGGACUACUGCGAAAGCAUCUGCCAUGGAUGUUUUCAUUGA
Molecule: ribosomal RNA, 380 nt
Filed under: uncultured eukaryote
Lineage: Eukaryota
Description: partial 18S ribosomal RNA
Rfam family: Eukaryotic small subunit ribosomal RNA
Source: RNAcentral